Molecule: ribosomal RNA, 253 nt
Filed under: uncultured bacterium
Lineage: Bacteria
Description: partial 16S ribosomal RNA
Rfam family: Bacterial small subunit ribosomal RNA
Source: RNAcentral
UACGAAGGUGGCAAGCGUUGUUCGGAUUUACUGGGCGUAAAGGGAGCGUAGGUGGUGGGGUAAGCCCCGCGGGAAAGCUCCAGGCUUAACCUGGAAAGGUCGCGGGGGACUGCUCCGCUCGAGGACGGGAGAGGAGCGCGGAAUUCCCGGUGUAGCGGUGAAAUGCGUAGAGAUCGGGAGGAAGGCCGGUGGCGAAGGCGGCGCUCUGGAACGGCCCUGACACUGAGGCUCGAAAGCGUGGGAAGCAAACAGG